Non-coding RNA from Aedes albopictus (Asian tiger mosquito), 58 nucleotides. NCBI's taxonomy places the organism in Eukaryota, Metazoa, Arthropoda, Insecta, Diptera, Culicidae. The record is from Rfam.
UAGCCUAGUGAUUAAGGCUAUGGAUUGCCAAUCCGGAGACGGCGGGUUCGAUUCCCGU